UAGAUUAUAACUUACUUUGGGAAGAUCUUUUACUUGGUUCAACUGUACUGGCAUACGUAUGAAUCCAUCGGCAUCUUUCAAUCCAACACAAAUAUCUGAACUGUUUGACAGAUACAAUUGAAGCCACCAGAGCAAGCUUUUUGGAUGUUUCCAAAUAUUUAUUAAUCCAGAAUUCCAAAGUAGUUUUGUAUUGAUGAACUUCAAGUUGUUAAUGUUUUCCAUAUCUUCACUGUAAAAUAUUUAAAUACAUAUACUAUAUUCCCAAAUGUGUAACAAAUAAUUACGAAUAAUCAACUUACAAGACGUCGAUCACAUGAUUUGAAACUAUUCCCGCAAUUUCUGCAGAGUAAAGUAGAUCAAAUUCUUUGAUUGUGGAACGAAAAAUACCACUGAUAAAGUCAUUAACAUUUACAGGUACAUUGGUAUUAGGGUCCAGGUCAGGAUCAUCUAGAAAUAUUUAUAUUGAUUUUGAAUUGAACAAAAAUGUAUUAUAAACUGCUUAAUUAUGGUUGAUGUCCCUAGCUAACAUUAGCCUAAUUAGACCAUUCGAUUGUUUGCUAUUUGAAACACUUUGUGCCAAUUACCUAAUUUCAGUAAUCACUACUUAUGUAAAUUCGAAGCGUUGAUUCGUACGUUAGUAGUCACUAUAAAGGCAUUGAUCUUUUACGGCGAAAUGUUGAAAAGAGAAAUAAUUACUAGCAAGGGGGUUUCCCCCGGUCUCAUACACACAAUUAUGUAGAUAAUACUCGAUCACUUAUCAAAAGAAACAAAUUUUAUUACUGAGUUUGUCAACAGAUUUUACUUACCAGAAAAGCAAGUUUGCACAAAUUUAUAAUGAUAUGUGUCGUUUUUUGAAGUUCCAUAAUUCGAUUUGCCGUCAGAGAUGUAAAGAAUACCACCACACCGUGUAGCAAAAAAUUUACUGUUAUUAUAUUUCGAUGCUUUCAAACGAUAUGGGAUGAUCAUGAUUUUGCAUAAACACCCACGAUUGCUCAGAACUAAUUUACGUUUUGAUUUUUGCUGUGGCUGGGAUCGAUUUGAUCCAUCCGCUCGUUUUGCGUUUUCUGUGUCGUGCGAUUGUAGAACAUUUUCUUUUGAUUCCAGUAUAAAUUUUUGGAGAUCCUCCUGCAUCUCCGAAUGCUUUCCUUCUCUUCUGAAUAUAUAUUGCUCAAAUCCCUUAUUCAAAUCUAUUGGAUAGGAGCAUGGUUUCGGCAAUUUGAAAUAUGGAAAACGUACAUCACUGAAAUUUCCAUCAUGAAAACCGUAACAUUUUUGUAAUUUCGGCUUACUGAAAUAAAACGGUGGCGGAGUAUGCUCAUUGAAUCCGCGAACUCACUGCAGCAACUGAAAUGAACAAGGCGAAUUUCCAAAUUAAUACAUAUUUGCCAUGGAUGUACAUAUCAUAUUGAUUCCAAGAAGAGUAAAAAUAACGGAUUCUUCAUUCAAAGCCUUGGUAAGUGGUCGACGUGUGAGGAAGUGAGAACGAAAGUAAAGCGAACCAAUAAGAACUUCGUUCACUUUUAUAAACAUAAUUCAUACAGUUAUAAAUUCGAUGAGUUUUAUUAAAAAAUGUAUAUGCCUGUACAUUUUUAACACGUACUCCUUGUCUUGUAUGGAAUAAUUAAUUAACCCUCUCAUGCCCGAAUUGAAAUGGGCGGAGCUAAAAUUUUUUUUCGGACAGUUAUAUAUUAGUCUCAACUCAAAUAUGAAGUGAUUACUUGAAGAAGACGUAAAAUCCCCUGAAUAGUACAUAUCUUUCUCUAUACUAUCCACAUCGUUCGAGGACACCAUGGGAUCUUCGAUCAUCUCGGCUAUUGUUUUCUAGUCUGCACACAUCACGGAAUCCUUAAUAAUGUCGUGGACUGUCGAUUUACUUAUUUUGUUGUAAUCAGCGAUUUUUCGGACAUCCCCUUCAACGCGACUUUCACGUCUCCUGUACUCCUUCUCAAAGCUUGUCCGAAGUUUGAAAUUCCUUUGCUCACGGGAGAUUGUUUUGUGAGAUUAUUUUGUAAAGGUCAUAAAUAAUUCUUAUUUUUUUUUUCCACAAAACGGUAUCUUCCCGUCACCAUUUUAUUCAAAUUUGUUAUAAUAUUACCUAUUAAAUACAGUUUCCAACCAACCAACUAUAAGUGCGGCAUGUCCAAUGCAUUUGUGGCGAAAGUUAACAAAACAAACUAAAAACAUCUGGGAGGAAGUGAUAACGGUCAUUUGGUGAAAGUGGUGUAUUGAUCUACUAUGCAAAUAUCGCUCUCUUAAGAUUAACAGUAAUAUUUCUAAUUCUGAAGGCAAGUGCGUUAAAUCCUUGUCCAUAACAGUAUAUACAUUCAUGUGAAAUAAUAUUAUUUAUUGUUAUUAUUAAAACUUAUAUAGUACAAAUAUAAAACAGAUAUUCUUGUUUACUUCUGGUAAAUAUUUGAUUUCACUUUGGCACCCUUUAAGUAAUAAUAAAAUGAGUACUUUUGUGCAAAUUGACAUCACAUUGAUGUUUGUUUUCUGCAAUGUUCUAUGUAUUCUUCACUUAAGAAGGAGUACUCCGUUUUACCAAUGUGUUUUUUUAAUUUAAUACACGUUGUGAAUGAGUCGUAUGCAAAUUCAUAAACAGUAUAUGGACAGUUAACUGAAGACAUUGUCGUUUCAAUCAAUUUUAGCAUGGUGAGCAAGAAUCGGAUGCAAAUAUGUGGUUUCCACGUUUGAUUCUAAAAAUAUAAAAUUAAACUUGUAAUUUAAAUAUAUUAAAAUUAGAGAUUACAACUUACUCUGGGAAGAUCUUUUACUUGGUUCAACUGUACUGGCAUACGUAUGAAUCCAUCGGCAUCUUUCAAUCCAACACAAAUAUCUGAACUGUUUGACAGAUAUGAUUGAAGCCACCAGAGCAAGCUUUUUGGAUGUUUCCAAAUAUUUAUAAAUCCAGAAUUCCAAAGUAGUUUUGUAUUGAUGAACUUCAAGUUGUUAAUGUUUCCCAUAUCUUCACUGUAAAACAAUCAAAUACGCAGUCAGCGUCAAAAGAAAGUGUAUACAACUUUUUUCCUAUAUUUCUUGUGUUUUUAUGUUUUUGUUAAGUGAUACAAUGUAAGAAUUAAUGUCUUUUAAAAGGAUAUUUAAUAAUGAUCAAGUUUAUAAAAAACAAAAAUAAAAUUAUUACAACAACAAAUGUUAUGAACAUAAAACUGAAAACACAUAAAAUUUCUGUCGUCAAAAGAAAGUGUACAAAUGAUCAGGGAGCGAUGGAAAUAAAAGUUAAUACUUUCCAUUCGCUUUAAUUAUGGAUGAUAAACGUCGAGGCAUGGAAUUGACAAGUUUUCCUGUUACUUCCGGUACAAUUUUUUGUCAUUCUGCCACAAUAACAUCCUGGUGCAUGCCCUGCAGCGCCACAUCAUCACUGAGGUGCCACCAUGAUUCACUGUUGAUAUUACUUUCUGUUCAGCAAAUGUUUGAUUUCUAGUCUUUCAAAUUUUCGCUGAUUUUUGUCCCCCAAAUACUUCCAAAUUGCUUUCGUCAAUAAAAAUAAUUUCUUCCAAAAGGAAAUAUCUUAGUACUGAUGCUUUUUACCAAAAUUUAAACGCUUCAAUUGGUUGGUUUUGAAUAUCAAUGGCUUUUUCCGCGGAACUCGACCAUGUAGGCCACUCGAAUGUAGUGCCCGAUGAAUUGUGCUAGCAUUAACUGUCACAUCUGAAGUUCCCGAGGACGAUUUGCAGUAAGGACAUGCACCAGGAUGUUAUUGUGAAAUAAUGACAAAAUACUGUAUCGGAAGAAACAGGAAAACUUGUCAAUUCCAUCAAUCGACGAUUACCAUCCAUAACUAAAGCCAAUGGAAAGUAUUUAACUUUAAUUUCCAUCACUCCCUGAUCAUUUGUACACUUUCUUUUGACGCUGACUGUAUAUUUAUACUAUAUGCCCAAAUGUAUAAGAAAUAAUUAUGAAUAAUGAGCUUACAUAUCGUCGAUCACAUGAUUUGAAACUAUUCCCGCAAUUUCUGCAGAGUAAAGUAGAUCAAAUUCUUUGAUUGUGGAACGAAAAAUGCCAUGAAUAAAUUUAUUCUCAUUUACAGGUACAUUGGUAUUAGGGUCCAGGUCAGGAUCAUCUAGAAAUAAAUAUAUUGAUUUUGAAUUGAACAAAAAUUUAUUAUAAACUGCUCAAUUAUUGUUCAUGUCCCUAGCUAUCAUUAGCCUAAUUAGACCAUUCGAUUGUUUGCUAUUUUAAACACUUUGUGCCAAUUACCAAUUAAUUUCAGUAAUCACUACUUAUGUAAAUUCGAAGCGUCGAUUCGUACGUUAGUAGUCACUAUAAAGGCAUUGAUCUUUUACGGCGAAAUGUUGAAAAGAGAAAUAAUUACUAGCAAGGGGGUUUCCCCCGGUCUCAUACACACAAUUAUGUAGAUAAUACUCGAUCACUUAUCAAAAGAAACAAAUUUUAUUACUGAGUUUGUCAACAGAUUUUACUUACCAGAAAAGCAAGUUUGCAUAAAUUUAUUAUGAUAUGUGUCGUUUUUUGAAGUUCUAAAACUCAAUUUGCAGUCAGAGAUGUAAAGAGCACCACCAUACCGUGUAGCAAAAAAUUUACUGUUGUUAUAUUCCGAUGCCUUCAUACGAUAUGGGAUGAUCAUGAUGUUGCAUAAACAACCACGAUUGCUCAGAACUAAUUUACGUGUUGAUUUCUGCUGUGGCUGUGAUCGAUUUGAUCCAUCCGCUCGGCUAGUAUUUUCUGUGUCGUGCGAUUGUAGUACAUUUUUUUUUGAUUCCAGUAUAAAAUUUUGGAGAUCAUUAAGCAUCUCCGAAUGCUUUCCUUCUCUUCUGAAUAUAUAUUGCUCAAAUCCCUUAUUCAAAUCUAUUGGAUAGGAGCGUGCUUGAGGGCAUUUGAAAUAUGGAAAACGUACAUCACUGGAAAUAUCCUCAACAUCUUGAUGAGCGUAGCAUUUUUGUAUUAUCGGCUUACUCAAAUAAAAUGGUGGUGGAGUAUGCUCAUUGGUGAGUUCGCUUCCUUGUAAUUUAUAAAUAACUUCAUAAUCAUUGAUAUCUGCUGCAGUAGCCAUUUUAUAUAGAAAUAAUCAAUGGAUAAUAUAAACAAUAAUCUUUACAAAUUUGUUUUUGCUUUAUUCCGAAUAUUUGCACAGUACUAAACAUCCGCGAACUCGCUGCAACAACUGAAAUGUACAAGGCGAAUGUUGAUUCACACAGAGGCUGAGAAUGACUCAUUAAUUGUUGAUAAUGAUUCAAAGCGUCGGUCACUUGCCGAGAGUGAGAGGAAGUGUGACUGCGUAAGUGAGCACGAAAGUAAAGCAACACAAGUACGAGCGAAGGCGACUUUUUUAUAUAUUAAAAAAAUAUGAAAUUUUUCUGUUACGGUAUAAUCAAUUAUUUUAGGUACAUAUUCACAUGUUAUUUAUUUUAAUUCAAUAUGUUUUAAUUUUACAAUUCAUUUGUCAU
Long non-coding RNA from Zeugodacus cucurbitae (melon fly), 5423 nucleotides. RefSeq lists it as uncharacterized. The record is from RefSeq and is a predicted model, not a curated record. The transcript has 3 exons. NCBI's taxonomy places the organism in Eukaryota, Metazoa, Arthropoda, Insecta, Diptera, Tephritidae.